GUUUGUGUGACCUUUGACUUCCCAUGAAGUCACUUCCUGUAGCUGCGCGCUAUUUUCCUCAGUCGCCUAGAGGCCCCGCUGAGGAGAGGUGUUCAUGCAGAAGUCCAGUAAAGUGAAGUUGCUGUACUGUUUUGUUUUUAUUUUAAACAGGUAUGUGAGCUCCCUCUUUUAUUUUUGUGUCAUGUGAACUGGUUAUAUCUUCUGUUUGUUUGUGAUUCAUGUUCACUGUUUCAACUUACUGUAAAUAUGUAAAAUUGCCACUGGUAAAUGAAGUCUCCCUAAAGUAUAAUUUUGUUGAUGAGGUAAUUGUCACUAUAUGUUCACGAUGCAGUGCAUUUUUGUUUGUUAUAUAUGAAUAUAAAUACAUUUUAGCAGUAUUAUUUGGUAAUUGGAUUUGUUGUAAUGUUGCACCUCAGUCGCCUAGAGGCCCCGCUGAGGAGAGGUGUUCAUGCAGAAGUCCAGUAAAGUGAAGUUGCUGUACUGUUUUGUUUUUAUUUUAAACAGUUCUGGGAGAAUAAAUCCACCCAGCUGGCAAAGUGA
This is a non-coding RNA of Maylandia zebra (zebra mbuna), 540 nucleotides long. NCBI's taxonomy places the organism in Eukaryota, Metazoa, Chordata, Actinopteri, Cichliformes, Cichlidae. The record is from RefSeq and is a predicted model, not a curated record.